RNAcentral lists this long non-coding RNA (356 nucleotides) under Numida meleagris (helmeted guineafowl). RNAcentral's name for it is "lncRNA (ENSNMEG00000010057.1)". The record is from RNAcentral. Lineage: Eukaryota; Metazoa; Chordata; Aves; Galliformes; Numididae.
GGGGGCGGGGGGCGAGGGAAGCGGGCAGCGCCACGCCCCCUCCCGCUGCGCCCAGGCCGCCGGCCCUCGCGCCGCAUUCGGCGCCACGCGCGGCCCCGCCCCGCCUCGCGCGUCACGCCCUCUGCCGGGCCCCGCCCGCCGGCUGGCGCGAGGCGGCGGGGGGAGGGGUUGGCGCGCUGCGGGGAAGGGACCGUUACGUCUCCAUGGCGGCCGGCGGGACGGCUCUCUGCUCCUACUCUGCCGGCCGCCGGGCCCGCCGCCUGCGGCCGAACCCGCCUCGAGGUCGGCAGCGUUCGAGGGGAGAAGUGCGUUUAGGGAAGAAGAGUAGAAGUAAGCUGAAAUUGUCCAUCAACUGA